GAUGAACGCUAGCGGCAGGCUUAACACAUGCAAGUCGAGGGCAUCGAGAGAGUAGCAAUACUUUUGUCGGCGACCGGCGGACGGGUGCGUAACGCGUAUGCAACCUACCUUAUACAGGGGGAUAACCUUUCGAAAGGGAGACUAAUACCGCAUAACAUUACUUUGAGGCAUCUUGAGGUAAUUAAAUCUUCGGAGGUAUAAGAUGGGCAUGCGUAGCAUUAGCUAGAUGGUGCGGUAACGGCGUACCAUGGCGACGAUGCUUAGGGGUUCUGAGAGGAAGGUCCCCCANACUGGUACUGAGAUACGGACCAGACUCCUACGGGAGGCAGCAGUGAGGAAUAUUGGUCAAUGGUC
Molecule: ribosomal RNA, 354 nt
Filed under: uncultured bacterium
Lineage: Bacteria
Description: bacterial SSU rRNA
Rfam family: Bacterial small subunit ribosomal RNA
Source: RNAcentral